GGGCCCCGCGGGGCUAGGGGCGGGGCACGAGGCGCCCCCUCCCCGCCCGGCGUCAUGGAAACCGCGGUCCCUCUCGGUUCUUACAGUGGUUCCCCGGCCGGGGGUCGCUGACCUUCCCCGGGGCAAAUUCAGAACGGCCGCUUCUCCGCCGGCUCCCGACCCCCCACGGUCUUCCGCGUGGAUGCCCUGCUUGACCCCCACCUUCCGGUCCUCGGGUACCACCCACGGUUAACGGGGCUCAUUCUUCCCAGUUUGGACACUCCACCUUUGUCUCUGAUGCGCCUUUGCCGGGAUGCACAGCCCUUUUUAAUGUCACUCACCUCCGAGGUUUCCCCGAGAUGCGGCCUCCGUUUCCUUUUCAGAUGUCCCCUUUUGAGCACCUCCAGGCCAUCUCGCUUAAGCGUUUCUUUCUGCCUUGCCCCCUUUCUCUCGUCCUCCUUCCGGCAGUCACGUGUUGGAUGUGCUACACCUUUAAUCCCAGCACUUUGGGAGGCAGAGGCAGGCAAACCUGUGUGAGUUCAAAGCCAGCCUAGCCCGUUCAACAAGGGAGUUCCAGGCCAGCCAGGACUGCAAAGAAAACAAACCAAAAACCACAUCACUCUUCUUCUGGCAAUGGAAUCAGGAGAGGACGUAAGCUUCUGCUGUCCCCAGAGGUCAGAGUAUUCUGGAUGUUCAGGAAGAAAGAGGCCACGGUACACAUAAUGGUCACUGUGGAAACUUGGCCAGGGACAUUAAAAUUGAUCAUGGGAUGGGAAUUAGCUGACCACCAAACAAACUGAAAACCAUUUAUUGCUGCUACUCAUGAUUUUGGGAACCGAGGGCCUCAGUGACAGCCUGUUAGAUUGUAGCCAUUAGGAGGCAAGGGUGGUUGACAUAAAUAGUAGCUUUUGUAGAUUAAUCUCCCAUUUUCAGUGUUGCACAUCUUUCAAAAGCCUUGUAAUAUAAGCAUUCUAAUUUUCAUCCUUAAUUUAUUGAUGAACAAAAUGCUAUUUAGACACCUAAGUGGAAGUCCACGUUAAUAGAAUUAACUCAUGGUAGAGACUCCUUGUCUUCUAAUUCCUAGUCUGUUUGGAGGAAGAGUAUGGCAGAAUAAUCAAAAGUAUAGAUUUGGGGUCAGGGUAGCUCAGUGGUAGUUCAGCUCCCUACAGCACAAAGCCUUGAAUUUAAUUCCUAGCACCGGAGGGGUGAGGGAAGGAAGGCAGCAGUGGGUUUGGAGUUAGACUCCCCAAGAUUAAGAUCUAGUCAGGAGCUGUGAGUGGUAGUUCACACAAGUCAUCCAAGUGCUCAGGAGGCUGCAGUGUGAAGGUUACAAGAAUAACCUGGACUACAGAGUGGGAGACUGUCUCAAACAGAUAAAUAAAAUCGAGUUUUGUUGUACGACCUUA
Molecule: long non-coding RNA, 1385 nt
Organism: Peromyscus eremicus (cactus mouse)
Lineage: Eukaryota; Metazoa; Chordata; Mammalia; Rodentia; Cricetidae
Exons: 2
Source: RefSeq, a predicted model, not a curated record